This 465-nucleotide ribosomal RNA is filed under the name uncultured bacterium. RNAcentral's name for it is "partial 16S ribosomal RNA". It matches the Rfam family "Bacterial small subunit ribosomal RNA", at positions 339 to 795 of the family's 1533-position model. The record is from RNAcentral.
CUACGGGUUGCAGCAGUGAGGAAUUUUGCGCAAUGGGCGAAAGCCUGACGCAGCAACGCCGCGUGAGUGAUGAAGGCCUUCGGGUCGUAAAGCUCUGUCAAGUGGGAAGAACCUAUAUAAUGCCAACACCAUUAUAUACUGACGGUACCACUGAAGGAAGCACCGGCUAUCUCCGUGCCAGCAGCCGCGGUAAUACGGGGGGUGCAAGCGUUAUUCGGAAUCAUUGGGCGUAAAGGGCACGUAGGCGGCCUGGUCAGUCAGAUGUGAAAGCCCGGGGCUUAACCCGGGAAGUGCAUUUGAUACUGUCAGGCUUGAGUAUGGGAGGGGGAAGUGGAAUUCCUGGUGUAGAGGUGAGAUUCGUAGAUAUCAGGAGGAACACCGGUGGCGAAGGCGACUUCCUGGACUAAUACUGACGCUGAGGUGCGAAGGCAUGGGUAGCAAACAGGAUUAGAUACCCCCGUAGUC